Long non-coding RNA from Hemicordylus capensis (graceful crag lizard), 2427 nucleotides. RefSeq lists it as uncharacterized. The record is from RefSeq and is a predicted model, not a curated record. NCBI's taxonomy places the organism in Eukaryota, Metazoa, Chordata, Lepidosauria, Squamata, Cordylidae. The transcript is spliced from 3 exons.
UUAGACACUGGCUUGUUAAACUAGCUACAGCACUACUUAACUGACACAGAACUCUCCGUUAACAAACAAAUCACAUCAUCAUAUUCAUACUACACUCCUGCUAACAAUUGCCCUGGGCAUUGCUUUUUGUACAAAUUUAAAAGCACACAUUGUAGAAUGAUGGGAAGAAAGGGUCACACCAAGAGUCACACACUACAAUCCAGCCCCCCCCCCUGCCCCCGGACACACAUUUGUUAUUCUCAGCUUUGAAUAUCAUGAGAACAGAUAUUACAGAUGGAGGAGCGGAAAUACAUGGUACACCAAGAACUGAGCAAUACAGACAACUACAGCAGUAACUAAAUCCUCCUUUCCCUCAUUCCCUACAGACUUUUUCUUUAUAAUGAUCCACAGACAAAGAAAACUCUCUUUUUUUUAGCAGCAGCAAUGAAAACUUAAUAGCCUACCAUUUUCUUUGCACUCUUCGGGAGGUUUAGCCUUUUUCGCAAGUCGUGGAUCCAGCCAUGAUGUUGUCUUUGUGUUAUGGCUGAAAAGAAAAGAAAUUACCCUGAUCAGACACAUCCUGAACAGAAUCAAGUUUAUGCCUUCCGAUGAAGGCGAAGGAAAGGAAGCAGUAAGAGCAAUCACAAGAAAAUCCCCAAAGAUGGGUGAUUACGCAACCUAUUCUUCUUCCAGACAAUCCUCAAUGAAUGUCAUCAAAUCAAUCAGCCAUGAGUAGAAUCCAAGGGAACGAGUUGUGGUAUGCAAGAAAAAGGCAGAGAAGGGAAGAAGAAGCUGCAGAAAGACUCAAGGAGUGGCUGACAGUAGAUGCCAUCCUAUAGAAGGAGGCCUUCCAUUACUUCUGCAAAAUCUUCUGGCUUCUACUCUACAGAAACUGAUUAUCUACAUGGAAGGAAGGAACUAGUUUGGUCAACAGGGUGGGUUUUUAUGGAGUUCUCAAGCUUUUUAAAACAAGUAUACUUCUGUCACAAACCUUCAGCUCAGGUAACCAUAGAGGUUUUUGUCCAUGUGUAUGUGUGUGACGGCAUGUAUGUGUUUGUGCAGUUAAGGGACAGGCUACUGCUUGCAUCCACUCUAAGUUACUCAUUGAAAUUUAUGGGACAAGUUAAUUGACUCAUUCGUUUCACUAUGACUGCUAAGUAAGUAUGUAUUCAUGCUCCAGGUGAUGGGUGAUUUUCAUCAGUCUCCCCUUACCUCUGAAGCUCAUACCUCACUUAAUGAUGUAUUAACCAAAGAAGGGCGUUCACUUUGGCCCACUGCCAUGGUCUCACCUCAGCAGGACUGGAGGGCUGUUACAGAAAGACCCCAUUUGCUGAGCGUUUAUGCCCCUGUGGCUCGGAACAGAUCAAAACUAUUGAGCAUGUCCUUCUAUUUUGCCUGUUCAACAGAGACAGACGUGCUGCCCUCAUUUUCCCAUUGCUAAGUAAGUUCCUGGGACAUACGAGUCAAUUCUACAGUCAUUUAUUGCUCUCUGAUUCCAACUCUGCCAUUACACAGAAUGUUGCCAAGUUCUGUGCCGCUGCGAUUGGCAUCCGGCGAAGUAUGAUAGGCGGUGAGCCCCCCUAAUCUGACUCUUGAUUACUCUGGAUCGAUAUCGCACUUUCCCACGCCUCCAUACCCAUUGUUUUACUGCAUUAUAUUGUAUUUUAUUGCAUUCCAUUGUCUUCUUAUUGCUCUGUAUACUAUACUAUUUUAUACCCCCCCUUUUAACUUAUUACUACAUUUUAUCUUCUCUAUUUUUAAUAACUUUAGUACCAAUGUGUAUUUUUAGUUAUAGUUUUAGUUUUAGCCUUUUGACGAUGAAUCUAUUGGUUUUUUUAAAAUCUUAAACUGCAAUCAUCCUUAAUUUUAGCUUUGUUACCUGUAAUUUUAAAUCUGUAUUAAUUUUAUGCUGGUCUCCAACCAUAAUAAAGGAUUGAUUGAUUACCUCUGAAGCCCUCCAAAAUAGGUGACUCCCCAAAAUAGGUCCCUGCGGACUGCAUGCCCCUGAGAGACAUAUAUAAAAGUCACAGUCAGCUUCAGGAGGAAAUGGAGAGGGAUGAAAAUCACCCCUCACCUGGAACUUUCACACAGCAUUGCUGCACCAGCAUUUCAUUAGUCUGGAUGUCAGUAAAUAAAAAGCAGUUCAAACUUUUAGCCAUGCACACUAAAAUGGUACACUACUUGCUUAUGAUCUGCUAAACACUGAUUAGCUCUGCUAUAAUAAGUAAUACGCCCACAAGUGCCCUGUAGUACCUCGAAGUCAAUUGCUAGCUGCUUUUCUCUGCCAUAACUUGUGAACUGCUUUGAGACUUUUGUUAUAGGCAAUAUAUAUUAAUUAUAUUAUAUUAUAUUAUAUCAAUUAAAAAAACUUUCUGAUGUGAAUGGAAUAGCAACAUUUUGUCAAACUGGCAAGUGAAGAGGGUUUUGUUUGCAGUGCUAAGCUCUGUU